Molecule: long non-coding RNA, 934 nt
Organism: Ictalurus punctatus (channel catfish)
Lineage: Eukaryota; Metazoa; Chordata; Actinopteri; Siluriformes; Ictaluridae
Source: Ensembl
GUGGUUCUAAUCAAAACAACGCAUUUUCAAAACUCUUUACAAAUGCCGUUGGGUUAAACAGUGCGAUAUGUUUUUAUCUAAUGUAAAGGUUAUUCCUGCUCCGGUAAAUGUCUGUGUAUCUUUUAUAGUUCGCUUCAUACCGAUUGUUUAAACUGUAACGGUUUAAAUAUAAUUUGUUAACAUUAGUUGGUAGCUGCUACAGGUCGGAAUUGCUUUAUUAUUAAGUUUUGUUUUUCUUAACAGAAUAUUAUUAACGCUCAUAACAGUUACGUUGAUACUUUUACGCCUGUUGAGGCUAAAAGGCUAAACUGCAGCUUGAUGAUUAAUAUUUGUCCACCAUGAAAGGACAUUUGUUGUCCAGUGAACGUGUAAAUUACACACUGCUACAGACAGGAGACCUGUCCAUGAGAUGAGUGACAGGAGCGGAUCAUGUGCAAGGCCACAGUUCUAGCUGUGAUGAAGAUGGAGGGAAAGUUUAAGUCAAAAGGAUUUGGGACAGUUUGAUGUCUACAAAUGGUUUUCUGUUGGACCCCUGGCACAGCACUCCUGUGAAAAAGUCAUCGGUCUUUCGCUCUGCACAACAAAGGGCAAACACAGCCUGCGUGUUAACACAGGCUUCAGGGUGAAACUUUUUCACGAGCGUCCUCCGGUUUGCUUGUUGUCCAGAAAAGCUGAAAAGACGCCAAAUUGUCAUGGAAAUUAGACAACACUCGCAGACUCGUCCUCUGAAGGUAAAAAGGUUUAUUACAGAAAGAUGGUUAAUACAGGAUAGAAUAAUGAGAGUUUUCUAAAGCGCUUGUGCUGAACCACUACUAUAUAAUAAAAUAUGAAACGCAGAGCAUGACACACUUCUGUUUACCGAUAAGAAGUGGUUUGAGGCAGUUCAAACAGGCUUUGUCUUAGAGUCUUAGAAGAUGUGCAGAUGAACCUUGUU